RNAcentral lists this ribosomal RNA (496 nucleotides) under uncultured bacterium. Its description in RNAcentral is "partial 16S ribosomal RNA". It matches the Rfam family "Bacterial small subunit ribosomal RNA", at positions 28 to 506 of the family's 1533-position model. The record is from RNAcentral.
GACGAACGCUGGCGGCGUGCCUAAUACACGCAAGUAGAACGCUGAAGAGAGGAGCUUGCUCUUCUUGGAUGAGUUGCGAACGGGUGAGUAACGCGUAGGUAACCUGCCUUGUAGCGGGGGAUAACUAUUGGAAACGAUAGCUAAUACCGCAUAACAAUGGAUGACACAUGUCAUUUAUUUGAAAGGGGCAAUUGCUCCACUACAAGAUGGACCUGCGUUGUAUUAGCUAGUAGGUGAGGUAAUGGCUCACCUAGGCGACGAUACAUAGCCGACCUGAGAGGGUGAUCGGCCACACUGGGACUGAGACACGGCCCAGACUCCUACGGGAGGCAGCAGUAGGGAAUCUUCGGCAAUGGGGGCAACCCUGACCGAGCAACGCCGCGUGAGUGAAGAAGGUUUUCGGAUCGUAAAGCUCUGUUGUAAGUCAAGAACGGGUGUGAGAGUGGAAAGUUCACACUGUGACGGUAGCUUACCAGAAAGGGACGGCUAACUACGU